GACGAACGCUGGCGGCGUGCUUAACACAUGCAAGUCGAACGAGGAGCGACGGAAGCUUGCUUCUAUCAAUCUUAGUGGCGAACGGGUGAGUAACGCGUAAUCAACCUGCCCUUCAGAGGGGGACAACAGUUGGAAACGACUGCUAAUACCGCAUACGAUCUAAUCUCGGCAUCGAGGAUGGAUGAAAGGUGGCCUCUACA
Molecule: ribosomal RNA, 200 nt
Filed under: uncultured bacterium
Lineage: Bacteria
Description: partial 16S ribosomal RNA
Rfam family: Bacterial small subunit ribosomal RNA
Source: RNAcentral